AGAUAUAUUAGAUUUUAGAAAAAUAUUAGAAUCACCAUGUCGGAUGAAGAUAUGACAAAAUAACCAAAAUAAACUCUAUAGAUCUUGAGAUGUUAUGAAAUUUUGUAUUUGGCAACUUUUUUAUUUGAUUUCAUCUUGUCAUGCAAAACCGCGUUUUAAAUUGAAAAUUUUAAAUUUUGAUUUUUUGAAACAACCUCGGAUGGAAAAACUCUCUAUAUAAACUUUGU
RNAcentral lists this long non-coding RNA (227 nucleotides) under Sorghum bicolor (sorghum). Its description in RNAcentral is "long non-coding RNA (SBIC_LNC010224)". The record is from RNAcentral. Lineage: Eukaryota; Viridiplantae; Streptophyta; Magnoliopsida; Poales; Poaceae.